AAAAUGAAAAUGAAAAGAUGGUCAAAUUUUGGGGUACUACAGCUGCCCCUAUUUAAUCAGCUUCAAACUGAGAGGAUGACGACCGUGAGUUUUCAACUUCUCGUGGUGGAAGAUGAUUAAAUAUAGAGAGAGGCCUUAAUUUUGACCAUGUAGUCAGCAGAGUCCGGGAAUGUGCAAAGAUUGAACAAUCUUUGAUGCUCUAUUGACAUCCAGACCAACCUUUGAUAGGACCCCAAUAAUAC
RNAcentral lists this long non-coding RNA (242 nucleotides) under Lathyrus oleraceus (garden pea). RNAcentral's name for it is "Pisum sativum (pea) long non-coding RNA (PSAT_LNC003383)". Lineage: Eukaryota; Viridiplantae; Streptophyta; Magnoliopsida; Fabales; Fabaceae. The record is from RNAcentral.